Molecule: unclassified non-coding RNA, 6840 nt
Filed under: Polistes fuscatus (common paper wasp)
Lineage: Eukaryota; Metazoa; Arthropoda; Insecta; Hymenoptera; Vespidae
Description: liprin-alpha-1, transcript variant X10
Source: RNAcentral
CGUGAUCGGGCCAGUGACGAGUUCGUAUCAGUGUCGUUGGAUGACGUCAGAUACAAAAUGGCCACUGUCUCUGGGCCACAGCACAUCGAAUAAGGAUCACGAGCGAAACGAUAGGCUUAAGGGUGGGGAAUUGUAAAACCGAAAUUGUCGUAGAGUGAGAGAGAAAGAAAGAGAAAGGGAGGAAGAGAGAGAGAGAGAGAGAGAGAAAGAAAAAAAGAAAGAAAGAAAGAAAGAGAGAAAGAUAGAGACAGGAAGAGUGAGUAAGCGAGUAAGAGAGACAGAGAGAGAGUGAGAGUAAGAGAGUGUGAGAGAAAGCGCGGGGGAGGGGAAGAAUAAUUGGAAUCGAGCGGCGUAGGUGUGUCAGUGUUCGGUCUUCCCCGCGAUAAUGCUGUUGUCAUCGGGAUGCCGAGAUUCACACGUAGACUCGCGCGACUCCCAGUGUCCUGAGUCGCGAUUACCAUUUACAUUUCUUCGGGCAUCUCUUGGACGGUGAACAAAACUAAAAAAUACGUGUAACUACGAAGGACUGACCGUCAGAAGGAAAAAAGAAAGAAAGAAAGAAAGAAAGAAAGAAAGAGAGAGAGAGAGAGAUAAAACUCAUUCGUCAAAGAAAGAUUACAAGAGGAACGAGUGCUAACAAUUUUCUCUUUUGCUACAACUCUCGUUUUCUCUCUCUUUCCUUUCUUGUUCGUCCUCACCGAGGCAAUCGAACGCAAGCAUAUUGAAGUUUCUAUAAGGAAGAAAAAAACGAAUCCUCUUUCUCUCUCUCUCUCUCUCUCUCUCUUUCUCUCUCACCCUUUUUCGAAUUAAUCAUUUUUGGAGAAUUAUGUACGUAAGAAAAACUGUAAAUAUCUGAAUGAAACCAAAAGGAGGAGUGGAAGGAACAGGGAAAAAGGGCAAAACAAUUGCUACUUAUUUUCCCUUUAAUUUUCGUUAUCACCAUCGCUGUUUUCUAUUCUGGGCUAAGGUCCUCGUUGAUUGGAUAUCAACGAAGAUCGAGAGAGAAAGAGAUAUCGAGUUUGCUACUGUCCAAUGACACAUGAAUAAAAUAAUAGUAGCGCAAAAAUAUUGGCGAAUAAAAAAGGUAGGAGUGGAGAAGUGAACAAAUGAAAAAGGGUAAAUACAGAACGGUGGCUGGUGCUCCGUAAAAAGUUUUAAUAGCGUGGAAGAAAGCGUGCUCCAUUAUCGUUCUUAUUCGUCGAGUUUUACUUUUGUGCGAUCGAUUCUAACGAAAAGAGAACGAACGAACGAACCAGAACGUAUCUCUAUUUUGAGUGGUCCAAUUCUGCUAUAGUCCGUUUUUAUGAUUGCAAGAAAGAGAGAAGAAGCGAAGGGAGACAAGAAAUUGGGUGUACAGGGAACAAGGAUUAAAGGGAAAAUAAGAGAAAGGAAAAGGAUUCAGUGGCCCUUAUUGCAUAUAUCGGAUAUGAGUAUGAACAGUUGUGUUCGUUCAUCUUCGUCAUCGUCAUCGUCAUCAUCAUUGGGAAUAAAGUUUCAAUGAUUCGUUCGUCUGCGAUAGAAAUUUCUUUGGUAGAAAAUAGUUCGAGUAAAAGUCAUCAAACCGGCGGCUACUGUUUUCAGUGAAACGAACGUCGCCAAACUUUAGGACAGUGGUCAGAAAGUUUGCAAGUGCGCCGUCAGAGGGCCGGCGACUUCCGUGCGCGCCUCUACGCGCUUCGCCUACCAGCAGUCACCGUCGCUUCUUCCGCGAGAGAGGUUUACGUCCUCUUCUCCUUUUUCAUAUUUUUACAUCUUUUCCUUUUUUAUUUAUUUCUUUAUUUUUCUUUGUUUGAAUGUCGUUCAAUUUGGUUGAUCCUACGAAAACUCGUGGACGAAGGAAGCGAAGACCAAGGAAAAUGAUUAAGUGAGAGGGGGAGGAGGAAGAAGGAGCAGGAGUAGAAGAAGAAGACGAAGAGAAGAAGAAGAAGAAGAAGAGGAAGAGAAAAGAAGACGACGACGACGUACGGUAGAGUGGAAUAGAGUGCGUGUUUUGUGUGUAUGUGAGUGAGAAAGAGAGGAAGAAAAAGUGCAAGGGAAGAAAGAAAAGCAGCCGGUAUAUUCUCUUCAUUUUUGCACGUCGCUACUCUCUCUCUCUCUCUCUUUCUUUCUUUCUUUCUCUCUUUCUCUCUAUCUCUUUCGUUAUCUUUAUCUAUUUAUCUAUCCAUCUAUCUAUCUAUAUACCACUAUCUCUCUUUUUUUUUUUUUACUGUCUUUCGCUUUCGCGCACGUGUGUUCCUUUAUAAAGUGUAGUAGUGUCGUGUGUGUUCGUUCGUUGCCUACACUUCGUCGACCGACAAUUCGUUGCUGCUGCUGCUGCUGCCGUCGUCAUCGUCAUUGUUUUUGUUAUCCGUCGUCGUCGUCGUCGUCGUCAUCAUCGUCAUCAUCGUCAUUGUCAUCGUAAUUUGUUCUUUUGCACUCUAAAGUACCGAGAAAAUUUGUCGGGCGUGUAAACGAAGAGUAAAAAGAGAGAAGAAAGGAGGAAGAGGAAGAGGAGGAGGAGUAGGUGAAAGAAAAGUGAAAAAAAAGGAAUUAGCGACAUCAAAAUGUGGAGUGCGAUGUGUGACGUGAUGCCAACGAUUGCGGAGGACAGCAUAAGUCAAAGAAGUUCGCAGUUCUCUGGCGAGGAUGCGAACUUCGAACAAUUAAUGGUUUCGAUGUUGGACGAAAGGGACAAGUUAAUGGAUUCGUUGCGGGAGUGUCAAGAACGGGUCCAAGAAGCCGAAACCAGAGUCAGGGAACUCGAAAAGGAACGAGACUCCCUUAAUCGUCAAAUUUACGCCAACAUUCCCCAGGAACUUUCACAAUUGACGAAGGAAUUAGCGGCAGCGCGUGAAAACAUUUUACAGAGAGAAGAAGAAAUAUCAGAAUUGAAAGCAGAACGCAACAACACACGUCUUCUACUAGAACAUCUAGAAUGUUUGGUUUCUCGACACGAACGAUCGCUGAGGAUGACGGUCGUAAAACGUCAAGCCGCUGCACAAUCGGGCGUGUCGUCAGAAGUUGAAGUACUAAAAGCUUUAAAGAGUUUGUUCGAACAUCACAAAGCUUUGGACGAGAAGGUACGCGAACGAUUGCGUGUAGCUCUCGAAAGGAAUACGAGCCUUGAAGAGGAACUGGCCCAUACCAAAGAAGAGCUUCAACAAUAUAAAGUAAGUGGAAUUACGCCUAAAGCCACCGAUGACAAACCUAAAGAAAAUGGUCAAACGGAUGACGGUCAACAACAAAACAAGAAUGAAACUGAGCAGGCUGAAAGUCAGCAGGAGCCACAGCAGCAGCUUCAACAGCAGCUACAACAGCAGCAACAGCAACAGCAACAGUUACAACAGCAACACGCAAUACAAAAGCUAGGUACAGAGAAGCCACCAACAGAGAUAGCAAGCAGAUUGAGCAAUGGCAGUCUUGACCCAUCCGACCAGGAUUCGGCAGUACGAGUAAUAGACUUGCAAGCCACUCUUGAUAAACAGAGUACUGAGUUAAAUACAUGGCAACGACGUGUAGCGGAAUUGAGCGGACGAGUUGCAGAAUUAGAAGAAACCCUUUCUAAAACCCAAAAGGAUCUUCUUAAAACUCAAGAGAUCAAUGUUAAGUUGCAAAGAGAUCUGUGUGAAAAUGUUGCACAGAAAGAGGACCAAGAAGAAAGGAUUGCAACUCUUGAGAAACGUUAUCUCAAUGCUCAACGGGAAUCAACUAGCUUACAGGAUCUCAAUGAGAAAUUAGAACAGGAGCUUCAACAUAAGAAGGCUCAAUUGAAGCUUCAAGAAGAAAAGAUAGCAGCUAUACAAGAAAAAUUGGAACUUGCAGAACAAAAAUUAACUCAAUAUGCUAAGUUACCUGAAAUGGAAGAACAAUUAAAGCAGAGGAUGGAGGCUCUGACCCAGGUGAGGAGGCCCAACCAGCAGGCUCAGGAGAGGCAUGGUAGCGCAGAGGAUAGAAUACAAAGGUUAGAAGCACAAUUAGAAGAGAAAAAUGCAGAAGUAAUGCGCGUCAAUCAACGACUUAAAAUGAACGAGGAACAUAACACUCGAUUGAGCGCAACGGUUGAUAAACUAUUAUCUGAAUCUAAUGAUAGGCUACAAACGCAUUUAUCUGAAAGAAUGAAAGCAAUAGACGAAAAGAAUGUGAUAAUGCAGGAACUUGAGAAAACGAGGAAAAUAGCUGAAGAUUUACAAAAUGAAAAAGCGGAUAUCGUUAAAGAGCUAGGAAAAGCGCGUCUCGAAAUUGACAAUGUAAAGAGACAAAUGCUUCAGCAAGAAAUUGCUUUCAAUAUUCAACAAACGGAUGCAUUGACUAGAAGUCUUUCUCCAAAUGCCGCGGAUCCUGGUUCAUUUUCUAGAAGCGCAAGUCAUAGUAGUUUUGACACGCACUCGUUGCCUAGAAGAGGAGGGAAAAGAGCUGCAAUGGAAGAGGAUGCCUCGAAGAAUUACGUAGUACGCACUCUUGCGGAACAAGAAUGGGAGAAACUUCAGCAAGCUCAUGUUCUAGCAAACGUGCAGCAAGCAUUUGAUGUUUCAAGCGAUGCAGAAGGUGACGGUGAUAAUGAAAGUAUCUUCAGUUGUUCGGCGGAGGUAAUUAGUCCGGCCGGACACACCGAUGCUCAAACACUUGCGCUGAUGCUACAAGAACAAUUAGAUGCCAUCAAUAAUGAGAUUAGAUUGAUUCAGGAAGAAAAGCAGAACACGGAAGCACGAGCAGAAGAAUUAGAAUCUCGAGUAGGUAGCUUUGAACAUAUGAAUUUAUUAGCAAGAGGACGCAGUCUCGAGCGAGCGUCACCUCCAUUAAGCGGUCGCUCUACACCAAAAUCACAUCAUAGCCCUAACAGAGAUUAUUUACAUAAAUAUCACACAGCACCAGCAUCAAUGUCACCUGCUCAUUUACAUCAGUAUGCUGCAUCCCUUGCUAGUCCUGGACAACUUUCAGAAUCGCUUCCUGCAAGCCAGGUGCUUAAUGCUUCCUGCCUUUGGCAGUUGCAGUUGUCCGGAGAAGAACUGCACUCGGUGAGUGAAAGAGACAGCGUCGGUGGUGCUGGAAGUGUUAGCAGCGAUGCUGCUUCUCCGUUAACGGCCAGAUCGCUGAGAUUAGAGCGCGUUGUGCAAGCACUUGCUCAUAGCCAGGAAGAAUUAAGAAGACGUACUGGACAAACGGGAUUCCCCAGCAGCGGCUUUUCCCCGCACAGCAGGCAUGGACAACAUAGCAACGGCGCACUCAAUUCUGGGACUCCUCCUUCCCCAUUGUCCUCACGCCACAGUAGCCAGGACAGUUUACACAAGAACAAUCUAUCCAGUGUUGGACUACCUAUUGGACAAUUGUCGAGUUCCCAUCUACACAUGCAAGCAACCAUGAGUCCAGCGACAGCAGCUGCGGUGGCAGCAGCUCAGAAGAAAAAAGGCAUAAAGAGUAGUCUUGGCAGAUUUUUCAGUAAAAAAGAAAAGAUAAAGGGAAAAGAUACGACGAUGCCCGGAGAUGUACCUGGUAUGGGAGGUGCAAGUACACCUGCAGAUCCUGAUUACGGGGAUAGCGUUUCCGUGGCAGGAACAUUAGGAAGCAAGAGUGAUUUUGAUCGAAGGAAAAAGAAAAGUCCCAGUAUGUUUGGUAGUAUGCUGGACUCUUCGCGACAUGAGCUAUUGGCCGAAGCAAUGAAAGCUGGAACACCUUUUGCUCUUUGGAAUGGACCAACUGUUGUUGCUUGGUUGGAGCUUUGGGUUGGCAUGCCUACCUGGUACGUUGCGGCGUGUCGAGCUAAUGUCAAAAGUGGUGCUAUAAUGAGUGCACUGAGUGACACUGAAAUACAACGCGAGAUUGGUAUUAGUAACUCUUUGCACCGACUGAAAUUGAGGCUAGCCAUUCAAGAGAUGGUAUCACUUACAAGUCCAUCCGCACCUAAAACUUCUCGUACAACAUUAGCUUUUGGAGAUAUGAAUCACGAAUGGAUUGGAAAUGUAUGGUUACCAAGUCUUGGAUUACCCCAAUAUCGAUCCACUUUCAUGGAGUGCCUUGUUGACGCUAGAAUGUUGGAUCACCUCACUAAAAAGGAUUUGCGCGGUCAACUUAGAAUGAUUGAUAGUUUUCAUAGAACAAGUUUGCAGUACGGAAUUUCGUGUUUGAAGAGAUUAAAUUAUGAUAGACCACAAUUAGAAGAAAGGAGACGAUUGGCGGAAGGAACUAACGCAGAUGUUCUUGUGUGGAGUAACGAUCAAGUUAUACGAUGGGUGCAAUCGAUUGGUCUAAAGGAAUAUGGAAAUCAUCUAUUAGAAUCUGGGGUACACGGUGCCCUAAUUGCUUUAGAUGAAAGUUUUGAUGCAAAUAGCUUUGCUCUUACUUUGCAAAUUCCUACACAAAAUACACAGGCAAGGCAACUUUUAGAAAUGGAAUUUGAAAAUUUAUUAAGGGUAGGAACGGAGAGGCGAAUGGACGAUUCUAAUAUGAAAUCCUGAUCCAACAGAUUACCACAUCUUCAACCCCAUCAUGUCUAGUCGAGAACCCCAGCUAUUACUACUGUCUGUACGCAAAUACCGAAAUGUAGGAGGUGGUCAUGUGUCGCAUCUGCAUUCAAAGGAAUUGCAGUAUAUAUCUCCUCGAAGGCCAAACAAUAUGAGUUGAAUACAAUCACGACAAUAAAUCCGCCUCGUUUGACUUGUUAUGUUUUUACGGGUAACAGAUCAAUUGUAGUUUUAGUAAUAUAUUGUUACAUGGUACUCCUCUAGAUAUUCAACCACAGCUAUUGCACUCUUCUUGUAUUAUAUCUCGUGUACUUAUAUAAUAAUUCUGCAUAUAAAAAAACGGCUUAUGUUGUCGUUGUAACUAGCACAAAAUGAACAAUUAAAAAGAAAGAAAAAAAAAAAA